CCUGUACUGUGUGUGUGUGUGUGUGUGUGUGUGUGUGUGUGUGUGUGUGUGUCUGUGUCACACACACACACACACACACACACACACACACACACAGACGAGAAACACAG
Molecule: small nucleolar RNA, 110 nt
Organism: Perca flavescens (yellow perch)
Lineage: Eukaryota; Metazoa; Chordata; Actinopteri; Perciformes; Percidae
Product: small nucleolar RNA SNORA23
Exons: 1
Source: RefSeq, a predicted model, not a curated record